CUUACUAAUAAACCAUCAAUCAUCCAGAAAUAGCAGAAUCAACCUAGCUUGCUUCUAAAUUCCAUAACUAGCAUUCCUAACAAUGUCAAUACAAAAUACAUAAAACAUUCAGCGAGCUCUUAGAUAAUUCUUCUCUCCUCGCCCUGAUUCCACGAUCACACCUUGCUUUUACUUGUAUCACAAAACAAAUGCAUAAGUAUUUCCAGAAAUACUUAGUGAGAUACUCAUCCCAACUACUAGGCUAUACACACAAGCAGUAUCAAUCAUACUUAGGCAAUCACACAACGCAUAUACCCAACAAACAACAAACUCAGCCGCUGAGGACUAGUAUCAAUUGACACCCUCCUGGUGUCGGUCGUCAACAGACACCUCUGAAACCCAAAAUGACGAAUACUGUCGAUCGUCACUCGCCACUAUCCUCGCGACACAGAUUGCAGGUGUCGAACGACACCCACCACUGGUGUCGAUCGACAUCGAAACCCUAACAUCACUCCAGUUGAUUUUUCUCGACGGAUCUCCGUUUCCUUGCAAACUAUGGACGAUAAUGACUCUCCAGAGGAACGUUCAAAGGUGUAACAACCCGUCCAGGUGGGAACUCCUACCACAUGGCACACCCCGCCAAAUGGUAGCCUUACAGCGCUGCAGCGCAUCGACCCUAACCUCUCUCCUGGGGGCCCAAACUGCGCAGCCCAUUUGCUCGCAGCCUCCUGACCCACCAGGUAGGUUAUUGGUGCGCCUGGCGUUCCUCGAACCCAGGUCCUCACCCUUUAACAACCUUCCCACUUUGAAUUUGGAUUAAUACUCAGUGAGUUAUAUGCAGUUUGGUGAGACGCGUUUUCUCUGUUGCGAACUGGGAUCAGCGGAGUUUGUAAGUGCGAUCGUGGAUUGAUCGUUUCUCCGAUCGGCACCAAAUUUUGUAGGGGGCUUCGUGACGUCUGGAUCUUGCUUUUCACCGUAGGGAUUAAGAAGUUAACGGUUAGUUUAUGUUUUAGGGCUUCGUUUUUGCGGCUGUAGUUUUUUUGAUGUUUCUGUCCUUUUGGUUCUUAGAGAUUUGUGUUUGUGUGGUUUGUUGUAGGGCGUUGUUUGGCUGUUGCAGUCACGAAGAGAGUAUUUCCUGGUUGUUUUUGUAACUCAAAUCACCUUGUUAAGGUGAGUGCGUGACCAUGAGCUUAUCUAAGCGAUUGGGAUUGAGUGACUUGUUGUGUGAUGAUUUGUAGGUGAACUGGAUGUGUUAUUGGAUGUUUAGCUUGCUGGAUGGUUUGUUUUUGUUAUAUAUGUGGGUGUUAUCUCAUUGCUUGUGUGUAUAGCUCGUAGAUGGGAGGAUCGCCCUCACUAAGUAUUUAUGAAAUACUUAUGCAUCUCUUUCUUUGAUGCAGGUAAAAGCAAAGUGUGAUCCGUGGAAUCAUGGCGAGGAGAGGAGGAUGAUCUAGGCACUCAUUGGUGUUUUAGAUUAUUGUUGGAUUUGUUAGGGUGUUAGAAUGGAAUUUAGAAACAUGUUAGGAGGAUCAUGUUUUGGAAUAAUGUUUGGUUGAACUUGUUGGUUUAAUAGAAUCGUAUUAUUGGAUUUUUGGUUAAGUCUUCCGCUGGAUAAUAUUGUUGGUUUACUUUAAUGAGAUUGCUUGGUUUAAUUGAUUUAAAUUAUUAUGGCCGGUUUAGCUGGUUCGAAUUAAUUGGGUUAAUCCGGUUUGCAUGUUUAAAAGAAAAAAAUGGGAUGGGUUCUUUCAAUUUGGUAUCAGAGCAUUUACGGUUCUAGGACAAGAUUUAAUUGGUAAAAAUUGUGAUGUGAUGUGUGAAUUUCAUUGAUGAAGAAUGAUGAUGUGAAUUUCAUGCUGAUUGAUUGUGUGUUUAAUCAAUUGUGUGAGCAUGGAGACCUAGAUCAUCCUCUUGAGACUUCAAUGAGAUUCCACGGUAAGUUGUGUCGUUUGGUGAUUUGUUUGGUGUUCUUAGCCUUCUGUUGUGUUGCAGAUGGUUAGAGGUGGAGCUGUCGGUCGUGGUCGUGGUCGUGGUCGUGGGCGUGGUCGCGGUAGGGGGCGUGGUGUUGCCUCGCGUAGCGACACGAGUGUGGGCCGGAAUGCUACGGCCGAUUUUGUUAGUGAGUCCCAGUCGCAUCAGGACGGGCCCGUGGGUGGUGAGAGUGUGAGUGCCGUGGGAGCCGGUUCGUCCGGGAUCGGUACUAGUGUUGUUGGAAACCCGGUUGGGGGUGUUCCAACAGGUGCAGCCCAGGGUCAGAAUGAUCGGCUUGCGGAUUUACUGACGCAGCUCUUGGAGCGGUUACCGGGUGUGGUACCGCCGGUGCAGGCUCCUGUUGGACCUGAGUUGCAGGCUCAUGUUGGGCCUGAGUUGCAGGCUCCUGUUGGGCCUGAGGUGCAGGUUCCUCUUGGGCCUGGUGUGCAGCCUGUUUUUGGGGUUGUACCGCAUGAGGGGGUAGGUGCGGUGGUCGAGCAGCCGUACUACCUGCGGAUGUUGGAGCAGCUGCAACGGUUCGGGAUGGCCUUGUUCUUCGGAGGUUCCGACCCGGCUGUAGCGGAUGAGUGGCGGGUGCGAUUGGAGCGGUAUUUCCAGUCGAUGAGGUGCCCAGAGGCGUAUCGGGUGGACCUAGCGGCCCACUACUUGGCGGGUGAUGCACAUUUGUGGUGGCAGAGUGUGCUGGCCAAGAGGGGGCAGGGAUUGUCGGUGUGGGGAGAUUUCUUGGCAGAGUUUAAUGCCAAGUAUUUUCCGGCGGAGGCAUUAGACCGGAUGGAGUCGCAGUUCCUGGCGUUGACUCAGGGCGAGCGGUCGGUGCGGGAGUACGACUCGGAGUUCAGCCGACUCUUGGUGUACUCGGGGUGUGCGGGAGAUCCUGAGCAGAUGCAGGUGCGUCGGUUCAUGAAGGGUCUGAGCCCUGACAUGAGGGUACGGUGCAAGGUGCGGGCAUAUGCAUCGCGUGUGGAGCUGGUUGAGGUGGCGGCGGGGAUCGAGGACGAGUUGAGGAGUCACGGGGUGAUUCCUAGUCCGUCGACGCAGCCGAAGAAGACCCAGCCGCAGUCGGUUCCGAGCAGGGGUGGCAAACCUGCUCAGGGACAGAAGAGGAAGUGGGAUGACACUUCCAUGGUGAGUCAGGGUAAUCGGAUGUGCUUCAGGUGUGGGAGCACGGAUCAUAGGGUGGCGAGCUGCCCGAAGAAGGGCGAGCCGUGGGUGGAUACCCGUGUCUGUUAUCACUGCAGAGAGACGGGGCACAUCAAGACGAGGUGUCCUAAGUUGCAGCAGAUGGCGGUAGCAGCGGUGCAGCCGGUGAUGCAGCCAGUGGUGCAGCAGUGGGUGCAGCCAGGAUUGCAGCCGGCAGGGCAGUCGUUGGCUCAGCUGGGAGCACCGCCGGUGGCACAGAUCGAGGGAUCGAGGGGGUAUACGACCGUGGAGACAGGAGAGCCAAGCACUGGACGGCCGAUCACAGGUUUAAUUCUAAGACUCACUCGAUUUCCUUUCGUUGUUUUAGAAUUUGUGUUGUUUUCCUGUGAUUUUGGGGUGGGCGGUCUUAGUGAAAAGGGUUUGUUUAGGGACCCUGUUGGUGGGCGGGUUCUUGUCCCACGUGAUGUUUGAUUCUGGAGCUACGAAUAGCUUCAUUACCCAAGAGUGCGCGACGGGUGGUAACAUCCGAAGAGAUCCCGAUGGUUGUUAUGGAGCCGUUAGAGUCGCAGGAGGCGGUUUGCUAGCGGUUCAGGGGCGGGCUAAUGGUGUGGAUGUACAGAUUGCGGGAGAGUCGAUGCCAGCAGAUCUGUACAUUAGUCCGGUGGAGUUGUAUGAUUUAAUUCUGGGCAUGGAUUGGUUGGACCGGCACAGAGUUCAUCUAGAUUGUCACCGGGGGAGAUUAUACUUCGAGCGUCCCGGACCGAAGAUGUAUUUCCAGGGUGUGAGACCGAUUUCGGGGAGUUUAGUGAUUUCGGCGAUUCAGACGGAUAGGAUGAUCCGAAAGGGGCGGGAAGCUUAUUUGGCUACGAUUGUCAUGCCAGAGACGGUCGAUGAGUUAGCAGUGGAUAAGAUCCGGGUGGUCCAAGAGUUCGAGGAUGUGUUUCAGUCGUUAAAGGGGUUACCACCAUCUCGGUCUUAUCCCUUCACGAUUGAGUUGGAGCUCGGGACAACGCCGUUGUCUAAGGCUCCGUACCGGAUGGCUCCAGCAGAGAUGGCUGAGCUGAAGAAACAGUUAGAGGAUCUGCUGGGCAAGGGUUUCAUCCGUCCUAGUGUUUCACCGUGGGGAGCACCGGUGUUAUUCGUUAAGAAGAAGGAUGGGAGUUUCCGGCUGUGUAUCGAUUACAGGGGACUUAACCGAGUCACGGUGAAGAACAAGUAUCCUUUGCCGCGGAUUGACGAGUUGUUGGACCAGUUGAGGGGAGCUACGUGGUUCUCUAAGAUUGAUUUGGCGUCGGGUUACCAUCAGCUUCCUAUCGACGAGGCGGAUAUCCGUAAAACGGCGUUCAGGACGAGGUAUGGGCAUUAUGAGUUCGUGGUGAUGCCUUUCGGGUUGACUAAUGCACCAGCGGCGUUCAUGAGGCUGAUGAACAGCGUGUUCCAGGCGUUUCUGGAUGAGUUUGUUAUCAUCUUCAUUGAUGAUAUCCUGGUGUAUUCUAAGAGUCUUGAGUAGCACGAGGUACACUUGCGGGCAGUGUUGGAGAAGCUGCGGGAGCAGAAGCUGUAUGCUAAGCUGAGCAAGUGCAGUUUCUGGAAGAGAAAGAUGGGUUUUCUGGGUCAUAUCGUGUCUGCAGAGGGAGUUUCUGUGGAUCCAGAGAAGAUUGAGGCUAUCAGAGAUUGGCCUAGACCGCAGAAUGCCACAGAGAUACGGAGUUUUCUAGGAUUGGCGGGUUACUACAGACGGUUUGUGAAGGGCUUUGCCAGUACAGCUCAGGCAAUGACCAAGCUGACGGGGAAGGAUGUUCCUUUUGUGUGGACUCCUGAGUGUGAGUAGGGUUUCGCUCAACUCAAGGAGAUGUUGACGAGUACGCCGAUUUUGGCUUUACCGGAGCAGGGAGAGCCGUAUGUGGUGUACACGGACGCUUCGGGAGUUGGUUUGGGUUGUGUGUUGAUGCAGCAGGGUAAGGUGAUCGCCUAUGUUUCGCGGCAGUUGCGGAAGCAUGAGGGCAACUACCCUACUCAUGAUUUGGAGAUGGCAGCGGUGGUCUUUGCUCUGAAGAUUUGGAGAUCUUAUCUGUAUGGAGCGAAGAUUCAGGUGUUUACAGAUCAUAAGAGUCUGAAGUAUAUAUUCACGCAGCCUGAGUUGAACUUGAGGCAGAGGCGCUGGAUGGAGUUGGUUGCAGACUAUGAUCUGGAGAUAGCUUACCAUCCCGGUAAGGCUAAUCUGGUUGCAGAUGCUCUGAGCCGAAAGCGAGCGGCUUCAGCUCGAGGGCAGGAUAUGGAGACCUUGGUGGGAGAACUUAGCACCUUGCGGUUGUGUGCUAUUUCUCAGGAGCCACUAGGGUUAGAAGCAGCUAACCGAGCAGACCUUCUGACCAGGGUUCGAGCGGCUCAGGAGAAGGAUGCAGGGCUGGUUAAUGCUUCUAAGGAUACUGAAUCAGAGUAUCAGGUUGCAGCCAAUGGGACUAUCCUUGUGCAUGGGCGAGUUUGUGUGCCCAAGGAUGAGGAGUUGAGACGAGAGAUCUUGAGUGAGGCUCAUGCGAGUAGGUUCUCUAUUCAUCCAGGAGCGACCAAGAUGUACCGAGAUCUGAAGAGGUAUUAUCUUUGGGUCGGGAUGAAGAGAGACGUAGCUAAAUGGGUCUCUGAGUGCGAUGUAUGUCAGCUAGUGAAGGCUGAGCGUCAGGUGCCGAGUGGAUUAUUGCGGAGUCUCCCUAUCCCAGAGUGGAAAUGGGACAUGAUCACGAUGGAUUUCGUGGUAGGGUUGCCAGUGUCUCGGUUCAAGGAUGCCAUUUGGGUCAUUGUGGACCGUUUGACUAAGUCUGCACAUUUCUUGGCUAUCAAGAAAACCGAUGGAGCGGUAGUGCUAGUUAAGAAGUAUGUGCAGGAGAUUGUGAGACUUCAUGGAGUACCGGCCAGUAUUGUGUCAGACCGGGAUUCGAAGUUCACUUCGGCGUUCUGGAAGGCUUUACAGAAGGAGAUGGAUACUAAGGUGCAUUUGAGCACGGCUUACCACCCUCAGACAAACGGGCAGUCUGAGCGGACCAUUCAAACACUUGAGGAUUUGUUGAGGAUGUGUGUGUUAGACUGGGGUGGUCAGUGGGCAGAUCACUUGAGCUUGGUGGAGUUUGCUUAUAAUAAUAGCUACCAGGCGAGUAUUGGGAUGGCUCCUUAUGAGGCGUUGUAUGGGAGGCCAUGUCGGACACCUCUAUGCUGGACUCAAGUGGGGGAGAGGAGUAUUUAUGGUGCGGAUUUUGUUCGGGAGACUUCAGAGAAGAUUCGGGUUCUGAAGCUGAACAUGAGAGAGGCGCAGGAUAGGCAAAAGUGUUAUGCUGAUAAGAGGCGUAAGGAGUUGGAGUUUGAGGUUGGAGAUAUGGUGUAUCUCAAGAUGGCGAUGUUGUGUGGUCCUAACAGGUCCCUUACCGAGACUAAGCUGAGUCCGAGGUUUAUGGGUCCUUUCAGGAUUGUGGACCGGGUUGGACCGGUGGCUUAUCGGUUGGAGUUACCUGAGGUAAUGCAUGCAUUUCAUAAGGUAUUCCACGUGUCGAUGCUGAGGAAGUGUCUUCACAAGGAUGAUGAGGUGUUAGCUACGAUCCCGGCAGAUCUUCAGCCUACCAUGACCUUGGAGGCGAGGCCAGUGAGGGUUCUCGAGAGGCGGGUAAAGGAACUUCGACGUAAGAAGAUUCCUUUGAUGAGAGUCCAGUGGGACUGUGAUGGAGUCUUGGAGGAGACUUGGGAGCCAGUGGCCAGGAUGAAGGCAAGGUUCCGGAAGUGGUUUGACAAGCAGGUCGAGGAGUAGACCGUUGGCUUGUUUUGUUUUGACUUUUGUUUUGGUUGUAUCUCUUUUGUAUAUUCAUUUUUGGUGUAAUGAUUAUGACAUUAGAGAUUAAUAAGAUGAGUAUUUCUUGGAUUUGACUUGUUGUGUCAUGUGUAAGAGAAAUAUGUGCGAGUUUCUAAAAAUAGAAAGUGUCGGGUUUGACGGUUCUAUUUUUGGAAAGUCUCGGGGUGGUGGUUAGUAUAGCAUUGCGAUGCUAUAAGUGGACCACGGGAGGUAUAUCUGAUCGAGAGUUAUGCUCGGGGGCGUUUAGACUUAUUUGCUCGGAUAUGAUGUGAUAGCCUCGGAUGACGAUUCGAGUGCACGCUUGAGGGUGACGACCCGAGAGCGAGCGUGAGACUUCCCGGAUACCGUAGCUAGAAGGCGGGUGGCCUAAUAGUGAGCCGGUAUGACUUGAGGGUUGCGACCUGAGAGCGGGGGGGAGUGGUGAGACUUCCUGGAUACCGUAGUCUAAGGCAGAGGCCUGAGGACGAGCCGGUAUGAUUCAUGGGUUGAGACCUGUGGACGGGGGAAGUGGGUGAGUAUGAGCAAAUAGGGUCUAGAACGUGAGUANNNNNNNNNNNNNNNNNNNNNNNNNNNNNNNNNNNNNNNNNNNNNNNNNNNNNNNNNNNNNNNNNNNNNNNNNNNNNNNNNNNNNNNNNNNNNNNNNNNNAGAGGUCAGUGGUGUACUGACGGACAUGUUGAAGGAUUCGAGGACGAAUCCAUGUUAGUGGGGGAGAAUUGUAACGCCCGUGUUCUGAAAAUUAAUAGGAGACUUGAAUGUGUAUAAGAAUUAGAGUGGAGCCGGUUUAAUUCCGGUUGAUUUCCUAAACUGGUUGAUUUGUUUAAUUGAACCAAAAGAGGUUUAAUUAAAAUCGGUUUAGGUAAAUUCUGGUUUAAUCAGAAUUAAACCAAAAACCCUAGUUUUAUAAAGAACGCUUCUUCUCUCUUUUGUUUUGUGGCUGUUGUUUCUGAGAGUGGAGUUGAGAAAAGGAGAAGGAGAAGUUUACUUGUGAAAAGGAGAGUGUUAGCUUUGCUUUGGUGUUUAAGGCAAGAGAAGCAGAUCCGUCACGUUCUGAUAGAAUAGAGUUACGACGUAUCAAAUCUUAUCGAAAGGUAAUGAAUUUUGGUAGGUUUGUUCUUAAGGCGUGUACGUUGAUUCUCCUUUUUACAGAAGUAAACUUCUCCUUCUCCUUUUCUCAACUCCACUCUCAGAAACAACAGCCACAAUACAAAAGAGAGAAGAAGCGUUCUUUAUAAAACUAGGGUUUUUGGUUUAAUUCUGAUUAAACCAGAAUUUACCUAAACCGAUUUUAAUUAAACCUCUUUUGGUUCAAUUAAACAAAUCAACCAGUUUAGGAAAUCAACCGGAAUUAAACCGGCUCCACCCUAAUUCUUAUACACAUUCAAGUCUCCUAUUAAUUUUCAGAACACGGGCGUUACAAAAGGCAACAUAACACAAAAAAACAAGCACACAAGCAAAGGAAUCAAUCAUCUAUCAUGAAAUCACCCAAACACGGAUCAAAACUGUUUAGAUAAGCUUGACACUCACCUUGAUAUGGAAUGAACAAUGACAAAAAUAACACAAUCAGAGGCAUCACAAGACUCUCCUAACACCACAGCCAUGAAAUCUCCCUUCUCUUUUGCUAAACUCUCAAGAAAAAGACCCAAACCUCACUAGAACUCAAACCUCACAGAAAAUUUAUAGAAGCUUGUCACUCUCUCAAAGAAGGAAAAAGCAGCUAAACAUACAUAAUUUUUACAAAUUACAUGC
RNAcentral lists this long non-coding RNA (8687 nucleotides) under Capsella rubella. RNAcentral's name for it is "long non-coding RNA (CRUB_LNC002278)". The record is from RNAcentral. Lineage: Eukaryota; Viridiplantae; Streptophyta; Magnoliopsida; Brassicales; Brassicaceae.